AUUGAACGCUGGCGGCGGGCCUAACACAUGCAAGUCGAGCGGAUGAAGCCAGCUUGCUCCUGGAUUCAGCGGCGGACGGGUGAGUAAUACCUAGGAAUCUGCCUGGUAUUGCGGUAUAACGUCCGGAAACGAGCGCUGAUACCGCCUACGUCCUGAGGGAGAAAGUGGGGGGUCUUCGGACCGCACGCUAUCAUAUGAGCCUAGGGCGGAUUAGCUAGUUGGUGGGGUAAAGGCCUACCAAGGCGAGGAUCCGUAACUGGUCUGAGAGGAUGAUCAGUCAGACUGGAAGGGUGACAGGGUCCAGAUUGAUUCGGGAGGCAGCCGUGGGGAAUCGGGGACCAUGGGUGAAAGAUUGAUCAAGAUAUGCCGCGUGUGUGAAGAAGGUCUUCGGAUUGUAAAGCACUUUAAGUUGGGAGGAAGGGCAGUAAGCUAAUACCUUGCUGUUUUGACGUGAAAAACAGAAUGAGCCACCGGUAACUUCGUG
RNAcentral lists this ribosomal RNA (484 nucleotides) under uncultured bacterium. RNAcentral's name for it is "partial 16S ribosomal RNA". It matches the Rfam family "Bacterial small subunit ribosomal RNA", at positions 30 to 507 of the family's 1533-position model. The record is from RNAcentral.